CUCCUGUGAGCUUAUUUAUGAAAAUAGCGAUGUUAGUGACUAAUCAGCUGAGAAAGAAAACAGAGGCGCACAGCUGACACCCGCCAUUGAUGCUCCACGCCGCACGCUGUCAUGACCAGUGCCCUGGAUGAUGAAGGACUGCUAACUCGAAUGGGGAGACGAAUGGCUGAGUUUCCUCUUGAGCCCAAUCUUGCCAAAAUGUUGAUCAUGUCAGUUCACUUACAGUGCUCAAAUGAGAUCCUUACCAUCGUCUCUAUGCUGUCUGUACAAAAUGUAUUCUACAGAUGCUUCGAACGAAGGGUGAGGGGGCUUCUCUCCUUCAGGACUCUGUAAGUGGCCUCUGGGACAGCCAAGAGAAGUCUCUCCAUAUCAACAUCCUGGAACUCAGGGCAAUUUGCCUGGGGCUCCAACACUUUGUGGAUGUGCUGUGGAAUUCUGUUGGUUUCCUUUGACACCACCACGGCACUUGCGUAAGAAAGUUGUCUCCAGUUGUUAGUUAAGAAAUUGUUUUUAUGGGGCUAUAAAAAAAAAAAAAAAAAAAAAAAAAAAAAAAGUCCAUAAGGUAAAAAUUAUGGUAAUAAAACACCACAAAAAAGAUGAGAAUCUGUUCAAGGAUAACUAAGAAAUCUACUGCAGAUCUACAAUGAAUAUCCCUUAAAUAAGUUGUCGCUACUAUUCACUGUAAUCUGGCAUUAGCCAGAUUAACAGUUUAACAGGAGGUUGUAUGGUUAUACAAACAUACUACCACAUCAAAGUCAGAAUAGGUUGACAUGCAUGUUGUAAUUAAACUAAAUGAUAUUCUGAACACAUUACAGGUGGAUUUCAUCCAAGUUAUUCAAUGGCAAUACAGUUAUAAUAGUUUAAAGAAAACCAUGUUAUAAUUCCUUACUUUUUUAUAAGAUUUGAUAAGGAAAACAAGCAAUUUUACUUACUGGCACACACUGCUUAAAAUUCACCACAAUAUCAAGACAACAUGUACUGGCUGUACACUAUCAUCAACUAGUAUUAAUAUACUCUUACACACCACUCAUUCACAUAUCAGAAGAUAGCCCAAUUUGUGUUGAUAUACAUGGGACUCCUAACAUACCAGUACCACAGCUACAGAAACUAGUCCAACUUGUGUUGAUAUACUCAGACAUGGGACACUCAACAUACCAGUACCACAGCUACAGAAACUAGCCUAACUUGUGUGGAAUGGGACCCUUAGACAUACCAGUACAGUUACAGAAUAUAGCCAAACUUGUGGAAAAGUUUGGGAAUGAAAGGGAAGCUGCAGCAUGUUCAUUACACAUAACACAUUACCAACAGAUACCUUACUGAAAGACUGUUUAGCACCUACUCAUGUAAUGCUCCAGUCUUAGCAACCCUUGACAAUUAUAUCAAACAAACAUUGGAAAUGUUACAUUAUAUAUUUUGUUAAAGUACUUUUUCAUCUUUCACUCAGCCACUACUAGUCUUGUUUGUCAUAUGUUUAUGUGAUGUUAAAGAUGAUGAGAAUGUCUAUGGUUAUUUGAAUGUCACUGACAGACAUCAGAGGAAUGCGUGACUGUAAUACGUGUUCUCUCUCAUGUUAUGUCCCAACUCCAUCAUGUGAACUGAU
This 1600-nucleotide unclassified non-coding RNA is filed under the name Portunus trituberculatus (swimming crab). RNAcentral's name for it is "aTP-dependent RNA helicase DHX8-like, transcript variant X1". The record is from RNAcentral. Lineage: Eukaryota; Metazoa; Arthropoda; Malacostraca; Decapoda; Portunidae.